Molecule: ribosomal RNA, 427 nt
Filed under: uncultured Acinetobacter sp.
Lineage: Bacteria; Pseudomonadati; Pseudomonadota; Gammaproteobacteria; Moraxellales; Moraxellaceae
Description: bacterial SSU rRNA
Rfam family: Bacterial small subunit ribosomal RNA
Source: RNAcentral
GGGGAAUAUUGGACAAUGGGGGGAACCCUGAUCCAGCCAUGCCGCGUGUGUGAAGAAGGCCUUAUGGUUGUAAAGCACUUUAGGCGAGGGGAAGGUUUUUUGGUUUAUAACCAAGAUUAGUGGAAGUUACUUGGAGGAUACAGCACGGCUAACCCCGGUCCCAGCAGCCGCGGUAAUACAGAGGGUGCGAGCGUUAAUCGGAUUUACUGGGCGUAAAGCGUGCGUAGGCGGCUUUUUAAGUCGGAUGUGAAAUCCCCGAGCUUAACUUGGGAAUUGCAUUCGAUACUGGGAAGCUAGAGUAUGGGAGAGGAUGGUAGAAUUCCAGGUGUAGCGGUGAAAUGCGUAGAGAUCUGGAGGAAUACCGAUGGCGAAGGCAGCCAUCUGGGCUAAUACUGACGCUGAGGUACGAAAGCAUGGGGAGCAAACA